GACGAACGCUGGCGGCGUGCUUAACACAUGCAAGUCGAACGGAAAGGCCCUGCUUUUGUGCGGUGCUCGAGUGGCGAACGGGUGAGUAACACGUGAGUAACCUGCCCUUGACUUUGGGAUAACUUCAGGAAACUGGGGCUAAUACCAGAUAGGAGCUCCUGCUGCAUGGUGGGGGUUGGAAAGUUUCGGCGGUUGGGGAUGGACUCGCGGCUUAUCAGCUUGUUGGUGGGGUAGUGGCUUACCAAGGCUUUGACGGGUAGCCGGCCUGAGAGGGUGACCGGCCACAUUGGGACUGAGAUACGGCCCAGACUCCUACGGGAGGCAGCAGUGGGGAAUAUUGCACAAUGGGCGGAAGCCUGAUGCAGCAACGCCGCGUGCGGGAUGACGGCCUUCGGGUUGUAAACCGCUUUCGCCUGUGACGAAGCGUGAGUGACGGUAAUGGGUAAAGAAGCACCGGCUAACUACGUG
RNAcentral lists this ribosomal RNA (468 nucleotides) under uncultured bacterium. Its description in RNAcentral is "partial 16S ribosomal RNA". It matches the Rfam family "Bacterial small subunit ribosomal RNA", at positions 28 to 507 of the family's 1533-position model. The record is from RNAcentral.